UGCCAGCCGCCGCGGUAAUACUGAAGGUGCAAGCGUUAAUCGGAAUCACUGGGCGUAAAGCGCUCGUAGGUGGCUUUGUAGGUCAGAUGUGAAAGCCCACGGCUCAACCGUGGAAUUGCAUUUGAUACUGCAUCGCUAGAGUAUAGGAGAGGGAAGUGGAAUUUCUGGUGUAGGAGUGAAAUCCGUAGAGAUCAGAAGGAACACCGGUGGCGAAGGCGACUUACUGGCUCGAUACUGACGCUGAGGUGCGAAAGCGUGGGGAGCAAACAGGAUUAGAUA
Molecule: ribosomal RNA, 279 nt
Filed under: uncultured bacterium
Lineage: Bacteria
Description: partial 16S ribosomal RNA
Rfam family: Bacterial small subunit ribosomal RNA
Source: RNAcentral